This 31-nucleotide non-coding RNA is filed under the name Rattus norvegicus (Norway rat). Lineage: Eukaryota; Metazoa; Chordata; Mammalia; Rodentia; Muridae. The record is from RNAcentral.
UAACCUACAGACAAGGAUCUUAAAAGGCAAG